Molecule: ribosomal RNA, 346 nt
Filed under: uncultured bacterium
Lineage: Bacteria
Description: partial 16S ribosomal RNA
Rfam family: Bacterial small subunit ribosomal RNA
Source: RNAcentral
CCUACGGGGGACAGCAGUGGGGAAUAUUGCGCAAUGGGCGAAAGCCUGACGCAGCGACGCCGCGGGAGGGAUGAAGGUCUUCGGAUCGUAAAGCUCUGUCAGCAGGGAAGAACGGUCACUGGGCUAAGCAGCAGUGAAUUGACGGUACCUGCACAGGAAGCACCGGCUAACUCCGUGCCAGCAGCCGCGGUAAUACGGAGGGUGCGAGCGUUAAUCGGAAUUACUGGGCUGAAAGCGCUCGUAGGCGGUAUGUCAAGUCAAGGGUGAAAUCCCCGCGCUCAUCGUGGUAACUGCCUUUGAAACUGGCAAACUGGAGUGUGUGAGAGGAUAGUGGAAUUCCAGGUGU